AUUGGUGAUGAUAGCUAAGUGGAAACACCUCUUCCCAUCUCGAACAGAGCAGUUAAGCACUUACACGCCGACGAUAGUUGAAUAAGCUAAAAUAGGUAAUUGCCAAUA
This 108-nucleotide ribosomal RNA is filed under the name Mollicutes bacterium. The record is from RNAcentral. Lineage: Bacteria; Bacillati; Mycoplasmatota; Mollicutes.